GAAAUGCGAUAAUUAAUGUGAAUUGCAGAACUCAGUGAAUCAUCGAGUCUUUGAACGCACAUUGCGCCCCCUGGUAUUCCGGGAGGCAUGCCUGUCCGAGCGUCAUUGCUGCCCUCAAGCACGGCUUGUGUGUUGGGCUUCCGUCCCUGGCAACGGGGACGGGCCCAAAAGGCAGUGGCGGCACCAUGUCUGGUCCUCGAGCGUAUGGGGCUUUGUCACCCGCUCCCGUAGGUCCAGCUGGCAGCUAGCCUCGCAACCAAUCUUUUUAACCAGGUUGACCUCGGAUCAGGUAGGGAUACCCGCUGAACUUAAGC
This 314-nucleotide unclassified non-coding RNA is filed under the name plant metagenome. Its description in RNAcentral is "partial contains 5.8S ribosomal RNA, internal transcribed spacer 2, and large subunit ribosomal RNA". The stretch from base 1 to 105 matches the Rfam family "5.8S ribosomal RNA", at positions 50 to 154 of the family's 154-position model. The record is from RNAcentral.